RNAcentral lists this ribosomal RNA (253 nucleotides) under uncultured bacterium. RNAcentral describes it as "partial 16S ribosomal RNA". It matches the Rfam family "Bacterial small subunit ribosomal RNA", at positions 524 to 776 of the family's 1533-position model. The record is from RNAcentral.
UACGAACUGUGCGAACGUUAUUCGGAAUCACUGGGCUUACAGGGUGCGUAGGUGGCCGGACAAGUCAGGUGUGAAAUCCCUCAGCUCAACUGAGGAACUGCGCUUGAAACUGUUUGGCUAGAGUGAGCUAGGGGUGAUUGGAACUGCCAGUGGAGCGGUGAAAUGUGUUGAUAUUGGCAGGAACACCGGAGCCGAAAGGGAAGCACUGGGGCUUAACUGACACUGAGGCACGAAAGCCAGGGGAGCAAACGGG